UACGGGGGGGGCAAGCGUUGUUCGGAAUUACUGGGCGUAAAGGGCUCGUAGGCGGCCAACUAAGUCAGACGUGAAAUCCCUCGGCUUAACCGGGGAACUGCGUCUGAUACUGGAUGGCUUGAGUUUGGGAGAGGGAUGCGGAAUUCCAGGUGUAGCGGUGAAAUGCGUAGAUAUCUGGAGGAACACCGGUGGCGAAGGCGGCAUCCUGGGCCAACACUGAAGCUGAGUGAGCGAAAGCCAGGGGAGCAAACGGG
RNAcentral lists this ribosomal RNA (254 nucleotides) under uncultured bacterium. RNAcentral's name for it is "partial 16S ribosomal RNA". It matches the Rfam family "Bacterial small subunit ribosomal RNA", at positions 524 to 776 of the family's 1533-position model. The record is from RNAcentral.